CUCCAUUUGAGUAUAGUCUGGAUUCCUGGC
This 30-nucleotide non-coding RNA is filed under the name Mus musculus (house mouse). Lineage: Eukaryota; Metazoa; Chordata; Mammalia; Rodentia; Muridae. The record is from RNAcentral.